UAAAUGCCGCACAAUGCGUGUUUUUUUUAUCGACCGGCGUAACAAUAGCAAACCUGGCUAGUUGUAAACAAUGACUGGCCGAGUGAGGAUUUCCGACUUCCGAGUUUUGGAAAGGUGAUUAAAAAAAAACACCAGCUUCCAAACACUUCAGAUACACCUCCAUGAUGGAAGUGGCUGUCUUCGGCCUCUCCUCUGGCUUUUCAGAAGGGUCCACCACUGUGGCACCCUGGCUCGUGUUGCAACCCAUGAUCUGGCGAUAUCUAGGAGUCUACAGCGCACUGUACAGCUGACGGGAGUCCAGUUGCAUAUAGAGUGUUACAAGACUUGUCAUAACCUUAUAACCUGUAUUCCUGUUGUGGGCUCAGGUGCCUUUGUUCCCUAUGGCAACCUCUAAACUUCCUGUUGAGUAUGGGCUCCUGACUGUGUGUUGGUUUUAUUUUUUACGAGCCUUUGUCUGCCAGCUGUCCUGCCUUACUGUAAUUACCUAAGCAACAUUGGUUGACAAUUAACUGAGCGUAGCGUGCCAAAACACGGUUACUGAUAAACACUGAUGGGAUUGUGUGUCAAUCACAGGGCAGCCACGGUUACCAACUUUCCCACAAUGCUGCAUGUCAUCCCUUCUCUCUCUCACGCACACAUUUCCUGUCACUCUCUUCAGUUGUUCUAUCAAAAUAAAAGGCAA
Micropterus dolomieu (smallmouth bass) is the source of this 682-nucleotide long non-coding RNA. RefSeq lists it as uncharacterized. The record is from RefSeq and is a predicted model, not a curated record. The transcript has 3 exons. Lineage: Eukaryota; Metazoa; Chordata; Actinopteri; Centrarchiformes; Centrarchidae.